UUAAAGGUUUUUUUAAAACCACAACAUUUGCAAUAACACAUAAUG
This is a non-coding RNA of Xenopus tropicalis (tropical clawed frog), 45 nucleotides long. Lineage: Eukaryota; Metazoa; Chordata; Amphibia; Anura; Pipidae. The record is from Rfam.